This 339-nucleotide long non-coding RNA is filed under the name Zonotrichia albicollis (white-throated sparrow). RNAcentral describes it as "lncRNA (ENSZALG00000007592.1)". The record is from RNAcentral. Lineage: Eukaryota; Metazoa; Chordata; Aves; Passeriformes; Passerellidae.
GGCUUGCUGUUGAUAUUUAUAGACAGAAAUAGCUGUAUCGCUCCCUUACAAAAAUUCUACCGUUAGCAUCCUCUGAGUGAAGUAGAAACAAUUGUGUUCAGCGCUUCCUCCAAAGGGAAACAGGAAAAGGAACAAGGAGGACUGCACUUAGGUUUCAGCUGACAAGAGUUACCUUCUGCCUGAGCUAAGGGCUUACAUCCAGUCAAUCUAACUGCUUCAGUUCACGUGGAAGUGUUUCAAAGUGGCCUUCCAGGUAUCUGCUGCAUAGCCUAUGCAGAAAACACAGCAAGGAAAAAGGACAGUCAAAUAGAGAUCUUUUCUUCCCUCUCUUUUCUUUCC